GGGAGGUGUUUGGGCUCUGGGGAUGGCUUGGGCCAUCCUUUUGGUGAUAAGUGAACUCUCACUCUGAGUUCACAUGAGAUUCAAUCAUUAAAUAGUGUGGGCACCUCGCCUGCCACUCUCUCUCUCUCUUCUUCCUGCAUUGCCCUUGGCUAUGUGAUGUGCUUGUUUCUGCUUUGUCUUCUACCAUGAGUAAAAGUUUCCCGAAGUCUCCCCAGAAGCAGAUGUCUGCACUGUGCUUCUUGUACAGCCUGAAGAACCAUGAGCCAAGUGGAAACUGGAGUGCAGGCGCUGGGGCUAGCCAGCUGCUUUGGUGCUGACAGGGGCAAACUCCACUUAUUGGAACCCAUUGUACUCAACCUCUCAUGGGAGAGAGGAUGCAGAUCUCAGCUCCAUGGACUUGGCAAGCCCACAUUUGAAUUUUGCCCUUUGAUCAUCAUCAGAUCACAAAAGAUCAUGCUGGUGUCCCUGCUUCUUCCUGGUGAUUCUCUACAACUUCUAUAGCUUGUACCACGCCACUUAGAGAAACAGAAAAGUAACUGAAGAGGAAUGUAGUAUACAGAAUGUGAACCAUACCUCAGUGAACAUCCCUUCUUUCUAAAAUUGUAAUUCAAAAGUUCCCUGCUGUCUUCUCUCUUCAUACAAACUUGGUUUUAUGUGUGUGUGUGUGUUUGUGUGUGUGUGUGUGUGUUUCUAACCUAACUUUUCUAGUUGUUUUUAGCAAGAACAUUGGUCAGCAGAAACUCAAGCUAUUUCUUCUUAAGUAGAAAUGGAAUGUAGAUAUUAUUUGAAUAUUUCAAUUAAGUAAGGUGAAUUAUAGGCUUGGGAUCUGUUAGGCUUCUUUCAGGGUGAAGUAAUUAUCACAUUCAUGACAAUAAAAACACGAAAAGGAAAACAUGAUUGAUGAUACAUACUAUGAGAGCUAUGUAAUUUAAUCAAUUUUAUAUAAUAUAAAGAAUUUUAUGCAACUUUAACACAGUAAUCUUUCUACCUUGCAAAUUUUUAGUACACAAUGCUGCAAGGAACAUGGGUAUACAGAUUAAUGGUAUUAUAAGUCUGUGCCUAAACAAUUUUUUUAAAAAAUACUAAAUAUACUGGAAUGUGCAAAAGAAGCACCUAAGAAAUGCUGGCUAUCAGAUUAUAACAGUGGGCUAUUAAAAAGAGAAUAAUGUAAUGGAAAUGAUUGAUAUAACUAUUCUGGUUAGAAACUGCAAAACAUUUCAGUUGACCUUAGACAAAAAAUGAAUAUGCAAUAUGACAAAAGAAGUAGACUGCAAAAAUGGCAAGAUAACUCAAAUAUUCUCUAAUUUACACACAUGCAUAAGUAGUAAUCUGUCAUGAAUUGGCACCACUUCAGCUGAAAUAAACCAAUAAAUUGUCAGUUUCAGCAUUUUGGAAAAGGCUUUAUUCAGCACCCAUUCACUCAGCCAAUAGUGGCUGAAUGACGGCAGAUACUUAGGCAACGAGGCUUCAUUACAGAAACGGUUUCUUCUGUACACUAAGAAUCUAGUGGAUGAAACACAAAUUAAUUGAAUAAUCACAGAAAUAUAUUUAUAAUUGUAAAUUGGAUACCUAUUAGAAGGAGAGAACAUUGAAUAAUGGCAGAACAGUGAACACAAUUACUGCCUAUCCAACAGCCACUACCACUUCUUGCUUUUUAGUCAUAGUCCCUCUUACACGGUUGAAGUAUUUUGCCACAUCCCCCUUCCUCCCUGCUGGGAUCUUCUUAACCAAGGUUGCCACGUUUGGGGCUCCAGAAGUAUCUUGCCAAGGUAAGGAAAUCAUCUGAGAAACACGGGAUGUCAAGUCAGAAGCUUUGCAUCUUGGCAUUGAGCCACUGUUAGCCACUAGAUUCAUCUAUGUAAAAUGAAUAAAACUCAUACAAUUACUUGGACAAUAUUCAGUUAUUUGGAGCUAAACACAUCUGUAUUAAAAAAAGCAAUAUGAACACACACACAAGCAUAUUCACUAGUAUAUGCUACUAUUAUCUCCAUGUAAUUGUUAACAUUUUAUAUAAUGAUAUUGUCCAACUAUUUUAAAUGAACAUUUACUUCAAAGACUUAAAUGUAUGUUUGAAAAAAGUGUUUGAGAAUUAAGGUUGACAGCAUUACUGUCUCCUGUAUGUCAGAGUACAUUUUAUUUUUCAUCACUUCAGUGAAAUGUGAAGCUAGAUACAGCCAUAGAAAACACCAAUAGAAAUUUAGCCUAUUGCUAUCAAAUGUCUUCAAUACAAUUUUUAAUGAAAUUCUCAUUUCUCUGCCUCACUAAUACAGCCUGUUAAAGCCAAUAAAGCAUUUUAGAACUCUUUAGAAAUAAGUGAACUCAAGGGAACAGUAUUUUCCAGGAAAAUGAUAAUGUGAUACAGAGCCUUUUAUGUUUGGGUCACUAGUUUGAAAGUAGCUCACGUUGUAAGUGAUGGAAAGUCAUUACUGUUCACUGGCCUAUGUGAAAUUAGUAGGUGGUUUCAGUCAAAUUGUUAGUGAAUAGGUGUUCACAUCCCAACUGGCAUUAAUUGACAUGCAUGUUGACAGUUUUAUUAUGAGUACCAAGGACUGUAGGCAAUGAAAAUAUGAUUUGGGGCACGUGACAAGUAACAGUCCACAAGGCCAGGCGAAGGUAUGUUUCUGAGAAUGUACCCAUGGAAAGAGUUUGAAAGUUUUUUCUUCUCAGGAGUUUCUUUGAAUGGUUUCUUUAGUGCUCAGAAUUUUUAAAUGGCAGAGGUUUAUUUAGAACAUUGAUUUGUUUUAUCUCUAAUGCUGCUCCAUAUUUUCAGAAUAUUAGUUUUUAAAUCCCAUGUUAUUUAGAGUACAUCCAAAAGCUAGUUAUCAAUUUUCUUAAACCAAUUAAGUUAUAACCUCUUGGCUAGAGCAAGUAAUCACUUGUUUUCUAGAUGAUUAUGAAAUUUAACCAACUUUGGAAGUAAAAUAGAAUGUACCUUAUAGAGAUUCACCAAAAUUCCUUGACUCAAAUAGCACUGAAAUAUAAUUUUUCUGUAUAGAAAAAUGUAUAGCUGUCUGUCUGAAUCUCCUAAUUAACUGUCAGGUGUAACUGGCAGAGGCUGAAAGGUCAAUUUAAUCAAAAUCUCAGAUAUACCAUCAAGUAAACAAAUAUAUACCGGACAAAGGCAAUGCUUAUAAAUUGUUCAAUUUUGUGAAAGUCUGAUAGUAAUGUCCAGUAGAUAUAAUUCUCUAAAUAGGUCUCUUUCUCUCUCUUGCUCUCUGACACACACAUGUAAACAUACACACCAAUUAGGAAAUAAGCCAUCCAGUAACCAUUUGUUACUGAGUACCUAUUAUUUUAUUAUUUUCUAGGAACUUUAGUCUUCUUCAAUAUGAUAGCUCAUCUAAUGCUCUCAAAACUCAUAAAGAUUGCCAUUUGUAUUUCCAUAUCAUAGGUGAAAGGCAAGUCUUAGAGGAGUAAAAGUGGUUAUCCAGGUACCAAUGACUAAAUAGGUCAGGUUUUACAUUCUGUGUUUUUGUGACUUCAAAAUCCAUGUUUAUUCCACUACACUAAUGGAGUGCCUAUUUCGAAUUACAAUUUAGCAUUCAUAAGCAAAUAAUUUCCGCUUUUUUAGCGAUCUUAUAUGAAAUAAGAGAUUAUAAAUAAAUGUAUUCCUAAAUCCCUGUUAGCUGACCUAUUAUAAGAUUAUGGCUAUAUUCUAGUUGUUGCAGGCAAGAAUUAGAAUCAUUAACUAUGUUCUAUCUAGAGUGCAUCUUAAUGGUAGGUGCUAUGCAGAGUGCAAGGGGAAGAAUACAGGAACUUGCUUAAAUGCUAGGAAAUGAAGAUUAGUAACUAUAUAGUAUGAACAUCAAGUUUUAUGUAAGGAAUAAGUCAAGAAUUUUAAUGGAUGAACAGUUAUUACCAGGAGAGGAAAACUGUAAGCAAAAAAAAAAAAAAAGCAAAUGAGAAAAUUAAGUCAAUAAUAUUUAAAAAGAAGAUAUAUAAUUGUGAGAACAAGUUUUACCAUGUAUGAAAUACAUAAUCAUUCCUGGGUGAGAUUUGUUGCCAUUAAUUCUUCUAUAGAAGGCUCUAGACUUGGAAUCUCACGACUUUAUGCACUUUUUUUUCUCUCAUAUCAAACUAAAGAAAGGCUACUCUGUUGGAUACACAUUAAGGGAUGGCAUCAUGAAUAUAGUGGAAAUUGGGUUGGGUCUCAAAGGAUAAGAAGAGUAACUGAAGGCAUAUAAAAUGAUUUUCCUAUGUACUUUAAAUUUCUCAUUCUGAUAGCAGGAUUACUAAAAUUCUUGGUAGAAAAUGUCUUUGCUUAGUAAAUUGCACUGAGUAUAAAACAAUGCUAGAGCAAGGGAAGAAAUGAACUGUUAAAAAUUAACUACAAAAGCUCAAUGGCAGAUUUUAAUGAGAUCAAUCUAACUGAGCCAAAAUUGAGGCUUUUUAUUACAGGAGCUCUAUGAUGCAAUUUUUUUAACAUUUGGAAAAUUACAAAAUUUUAUUAAUUCUGUAUACUACAGUUUAUUCAUAUUUAAGUAAAUACCAAAAUGAUAUUGAAUUUGAUUAAAAACUUUUAAAGCCUUCUGCUAAAAUUGUCUAUGGAGGCCAUGGAAGGAUCCUUUAAAAAUAAUAUCGCUGAUUGAUAGGAAAUUUUCACCCAUUGAGGAUGGGUUUGAUUUGAGAAAAUAGUAAGACCCAGUUUAAUAGCAGUAUGGCAAAUUAGGCAAAAGAUUCUAGGUGUGAAAUGCUGUUUUUGAUCAAAUUGAAGUGUGACUGAAAACUAACAUAAGUGAUUUGUGUGUCUGUGACUUAAAAACUAGGACUGAUGGCAAUUCCACAGGAAGAAUGAAAAAAUUUAAGCACCGUUAGAAUAUUUGAACAGUGUCUAAAAUCCUCUUGAAAUGGCUAUUGUGAAAGGAAAAACAAUCCCUAUUUCAAUAUUUUGCAAGUUUGUUAGAAAAUUUAAUUUUAUAUACUACUCAUAUUAGGUAUAGAAAGUAAAUAUAACAAACCAAAAUUGGACAUAUUAAAAUUCAUUUUAAUCAUCAGCAACAAAGCAGAAAGACUAACCUGUUUUAAAAAUUCAUUAAGUAUUUAGCCAAAAUUAUUUUAAAAUAGCAAAGGGAAAAAUAAAACCACUAGAGUAGAUAUUUCAAAAUCCUGGAUGACAGGUAAAUCAUUCAACACCUUUGAUUUUCAUAACUCUGGUAAUAUGCAGGCUUAUUUCGAGGUUAAAAUUAAAGAUUGCAUUCGGAAUUGUUUUGUCAAAUGCACAAUGCUGUAGAAAAGUUAAAAAUCUUGAUUGUGAUCAUUCACUUCCUUUUCAUUGUUAUUGUUGUGUUAGUGUUAUAUCAAGUAGGAUAUUGUAUUUGCCCAAUAACAUGUAAUUCGUUUCAAAGUGGCUCAAACAAUAAGUCCAUUUACUGUAUUGUGUAACAUUAAAUCCAAGGUAUUCGAG
Molecule: long non-coding RNA, 5404 nt
Filed under: Homo sapiens (human)
Lineage: Eukaryota; Metazoa; Chordata; Mammalia; Primates; Hominidae
Description: HSALNT0147870
Source: RNAcentral